CUCUGCCACUGCACCCAUUCCAUAUAUAGCUCCUGAGAACUGCCAUCUCCAGCUCUCUGCCUCCCUCCCUGCUCCAUUUCUGCUUCUGAAGCCUGUGCCCAGUUCUUGGCCGCUGCUGUGGUCUUUGGGCACCCACUACAGUACAACAGGAUGGCUGAGAAGCAGGAACAACCUCCAGUAGCCCAGAAUGGUGAAAAGGCUGAAAAUGCAGAGGAAUCUGCGGAGGCAGAAAAGCCGAAGGAACUGGAGGAAUUGCCACCCUUUGAAAUUGUCACAGGGGAACGGCUUCCAGCCUGCUUUUUCAAUUUCCAGUUCAAGAAUGUCGAAUACAGUUCAGGAAGAAACAAGACUUUCCUAUGCUAUAUCAUAGAGAUUCAGGGCAAGGAGCCCAAAAUGUUACGGGGCUACUUGGAAGAUGAACAUGCAGCAGCCCAUGCAGAAGAUGCCUUCUUCAAUACUAUCUUGCCCAAGUGCGAGUCUGGCCUGUGCUACAAUGUCACCUGGUACUCCAGUUGUAGCCCCUGUAUAGGCUGUGCUGAUCGGAUAACUAAAGCACUUCAGAAGAAUAAGAACCUACAUCUCUCCAUGGCAAUAGGUCGUCUGUUCAUGUGGGAGGAACCUGACAUGCAAACCGCCUUGAAGAAAAUGAAAACAGCUGGUUGUAAAUUGAGGAUCAUGAAACCUCAAGAUUUUGAGUAUGUCUGGCAAAACUUUGUAGAGCAGGAGGAAGAAGCAGCAAAGGCAUUUACACCCUGGGAAGACAUUCAAGAGAACUUCCAAUUUUAUGAUGAAAAGCUUGCUGAACUUUUGCACUGAGUGCUUCCAGAGUCUGAAUCCCAUGGAAUCCAUUUUUUCUUCACUCACCACUUCCAUAUGGCAGUGACUCCAUGUAUCUACAUUAGGAAAAAAUGUGCCAACCCAUGGAGCAACAAGCAUGGUAUACUCUUAACAUUUGGGACUCUCAACUCAGUUUUCCAGAGCUGCUUUGAAAUAGGAAACACCAGAAGUCUCCAGCUGACACACUGCUAUGCUGAUAGACUAAAAAUACAUGUAGAGAUCUGGUUUUUUUAAAUACAUAAACCUGCAGUGCUGUUAUUCACAUAGAA
Notechis scutatus (mainland tiger snake) is the source of this 1106-nucleotide non-coding RNA. The record is from RefSeq and is a predicted model, not a curated record. Lineage: Eukaryota; Metazoa; Chordata; Lepidosauria; Squamata; Elapidae.